GGAUUGACGGACUGAAGGCUCUUUCUCGAUUCCGUGGAAAGUGGUGCAUGGCCGUUUUUGGUUGGUGGAUCGAUCCGUCUGGUUAAUUCCGUUAACGAACGAGACCUCGGCACUCCGAAUAGCGCGGCGGACGUCGCGGCCUCCGGGCCGUCUUCCGCACGAGCUUCUUAGAGGGACCGUCCCCCGCCGGGGAAGGAGGUGCGAGGCAACGACAGGUCUGUGAUGCCCUUAGAUGUUCUGGGCCGCACGCGCAUUACACUGACGCGUCCAACGGGUGACUCCCGACCCGAAGGGGCCGGGGAAUCCGCAAGGCGCGUCGUGAUGGGGAUUGAACGUUGCAAUUGUUGUUCACGAACGAGGAAUUCCUAGUAGGCGCGGGGUCAUCAACCCGCGCCGAUUACGUCCCUGCCC
RNAcentral lists this ribosomal RNA (411 nucleotides) under uncultured eukaryote. RNAcentral describes it as "bacterial SSU rRNA". It matches the Rfam family "Eukaryotic small subunit ribosomal RNA", at positions 1237 to 1658 of the family's 1831-position model. The record is from RNAcentral.